UUCGCCGCAGAUGUCAAGCACCUUGUGGUACUUCCGGAAAUGAAACGAAAAAAACAGAAUCAGCUAGUGGUGGGCAAACCUGCUAUGAAUAUUUGCUAAAGAAAAUAAAUAUCAGUCCCGAUUUAAAUAAAAACAUUUCAUAUCUUUGAAUAAGUUAUUUAAAAAACAGUAUUGAAAAAUUGCUCAAAAAUACUAUCCUUCGCUUGAUGGUGAAGCUGAAACUUUGUUUCCUUUAUGGCAAUUUUAUUUUUGCUUCUUACGAACGGCCAGACUGGAUCAGGCCUUUAUGGUAAUGUUAUUGCACUUUCUUUACCACUGUUAUAUGUUUGAUUUGUAAAUCUUUGAAGAAUAUGUAUGUAUUCCACGAUGUAGGGGCAAUAGUAGAAAAAAUAAAUAAAUCACCAAAGAACCUCCAUCACUCGAACGGAGCGGAAGAACUCCCGGAUGAAACGUUUCCCAGAACUAUAGUUCCGAAGUUUGCACGAGCUAGUCGAAGGAUUGAACUGACAGCAAAGCCUACAUCGUAGACUUCCGCUAAUAAACUUCCUCUUUCAUCCUAUCAAUUCGUGCGGUGUAGACGUGAUUUCGUCUUUGCUGCCGUGAAAAAUGAGAGCUAAGUGGCGUAAGAAGCGUAUGCGGAGGUUGAAGCGUAAGCGCAGGAAGAUGCGUGCGAGGUCCAAGUAAA
This is a long non-coding RNA of Anopheles funestus (African malaria mosquito), 685 nucleotides long. RefSeq lists it as uncharacterized. The transcript is spliced from 2 exons. Lineage: Eukaryota; Metazoa; Arthropoda; Insecta; Diptera; Culicidae. The record is from RefSeq and is a predicted model, not a curated record.